CUUGCACCUGAUUGACGAUGGAUCACCAGUGAGUGGCGGACGGGUGAGUAACACGUAGGUAACCUGCCCCGGAGCGGGGGAUAACAUUUGGAAACAGAUGCUAAUACCGCAUAACAACAAAAGCCACAUGGCUUUUGUUUGAAAGAUGGCUUUGGCUAUCACUCUGGGAUGGACCUGCGGUGCAUUAGCUAGUUGGUAAGGUAACGGCUUACCAAGGCGAUGAUGCAUAGCCGAGUUGAGAGACUGAUCGGCCACAAUGGAACUGAGACACGGUCCAUACUCCUACGGGAGGCAGCAGUAGGGAAUCUUCCACAAUGGGCGCAAGCCUGAUGGAGCAACACCGCGUGAGUGAAGAAGGGUUUCGGCUCGUAAAGCUCUGUUGUUGGAGAAGAACGUGCGUGAGAGUAACUGUUCACGCAGUGACGGUAUCCAACCAGAAAGUCACGGCUAACUACGUGCCAGCAGCCGCGGUAAUACGUAGGUGGCAAGCGUUAUCCGGAUUUAUUGGGCGUAAAGCGAGCGCAGGCGGUUGCUUAGGUCUGAUGUGAAAGCCUUCGGCUUAACCGAAGAAGUGCAUCGGAAACCGGGCGACUUGAGUGCAGAAGAGGACAGUGGAACUCCAUGUGUAGCGGUGGAAUGCGUAGAUAUAUGGAAGAACACCAGUGGCGAAGGCGGCUGUCUGGUCUGCAACUGACGCUGAGGCUCGAAAGCAUGGGUAGCGAACAGGAUUAGAUACCCUGGUAGUCCAUGCCGUAAACGAUGAGUGCUAGGUGUUGGAGGGUUUCCGCCCUUCAGUGCCGGAGCUAACGCAUUAAGCACUCCGCCUGGGGAGUACGACCGCAAGGUUGAAACUCAAAGGAAUUGACGGGGGCCCGCACAAGCGGUGGAGCAUGUGGUUUAAUUCGAAGCUACGCGAAGAACCUUACCAGGUCUUGACAUCUUGCGCUAACCUUAGAGAUAAGGCGUUCCCUUCGGGGACGCAAUGACAGGUGGUGCAUGGUCGUCGUCAGCUCGUGUCGUGAGAUGUUGGGUUAAGUCCCGCAACGAGCGCAACCCUUGUUACUAGUUGCCAGCAUUAAGUUGGGCACUCUAGUGAGACUGCCGGUGACAAACCGGAGGAAGGUGGGGACGACGUCAGAUCAUCAUGCCCCUUAUGACCUGGGCUACACACGUGCUACAAUGGACGGUACAACGAGUCGCAAGCUCGCGAGAGUAAGCUAAUCUCUUAAAGCCGUUCUCAGUUCGGACUGUAGGCUGCAACUCGCCUACACGAAGUCGGAAUCGCUAGUAAUCGCGGAUCAGCAUGCCGCGGUGAAUACGUUCCCGGGCCUUGUACACACCGCCCGUCACACCAUGGGA
This 1359-nucleotide ribosomal RNA is filed under the name Limosilactobacillus reuteri. RNAcentral's name for it is "bacterial SSU rRNA". It matches the Rfam family "Bacterial small subunit ribosomal RNA", at positions 63 to 1409 of the family's 1533-position model. The record is from RNAcentral. Lineage: Bacteria; Bacillati; Bacillota; Bacilli; Lactobacillales; Lactobacillaceae.